UUUCAAAUCAACUGUAAGUAA
Molecule: non-coding RNA, 21 nt
Filed under: Caenorhabditis elegans
Lineage: Eukaryota; Metazoa; Nematoda; Chromadorea; Rhabditida; Rhabditidae
Source: RNAcentral